AGCACCAGGUUCAAAUGCGAUGGGGUGACGGAUUGCGAAAUGCGAGCGGGCGGUUGGAAGAGCCCGUGACUGGUACUAAGAAGGUGGUUAGGCAAAUCCGGCCACGUAAUUCAAGGUAUUGGUGCGAAGGAGCUACGGCUCUGAAGUUGCAGGCAGUGGUCCCAGGAAAAACCUCUAAGCUUCAGUUUGAACGUGACCG
This 199-nucleotide ribosomal RNA is filed under the name Oligella ureolytica. RNAcentral's name for it is "partial 23S ribosomal RNA". It matches the Rfam family "Bacterial large subunit ribosomal RNA", at positions 1440 to 1644 of the family's 2925-position model. The record is from RNAcentral. Lineage: Bacteria; Pseudomonadati; Pseudomonadota; Betaproteobacteria; Burkholderiales; Alcaligenaceae.